UGAUUGUCCGAAUGCAAUUCUUGUGGAAUUUUGUAAGGACCGAGGAUUGUGGUCGGACAUUAAC
RNAcentral lists this microRNA precursor (64 nucleotides) under Callorhinchus milii (elephant shark). RNAcentral's name for it is "Cmi-Mir-219-P3_pre stem-loop". The record is from RNAcentral. Lineage: Eukaryota; Metazoa; Chordata; Chondrichthyes; Chimaeriformes; Callorhinchidae.